RNAcentral lists this ribosomal RNA (434 nucleotides) under uncultured bacterium. RNAcentral's name for it is "partial 16S ribosomal RNA". It matches the Rfam family "Bacterial small subunit ribosomal RNA", at positions 341 to 792 of the family's 1533-position model. The record is from RNAcentral.
ACGGGAGGCAGCAGUGGGGAAUAUUGCAUAAUGGGCGAAAGCCUGAUGCAGCGACGCCGCGUGAGUGAGGAAGUAUCUCGGUAUGUAAAGCUCUAUCAGCAGGGAAGAAAAUGACGGUACCUGACUAAGAAGCCCCGGCUAACUACGUGCCAGCAGCCGCGGUAAUACGUAUGGUGCAAGCGUUAUCCGGAUUUACUGGGUGUAAAGGGUGCGUAGGUGGCAUGGCAAGUCUGAAGUGAAAUGCGGGGGCUCAACCCCUGAACUGCUUUGGAAACUGUCAAGCUUGAGUACAGGAGAGGAAAGCGGAAUUCCUAGUGUAGCGGUGAAAUGCGUAGAUAUUAGGAGGAACACCAGUGGCGAAGGCGGCUUUCUGGACUGUAACUGACAUUGAGGCACGAAAGCGUGGGGAGCAAACAGGAUUAGAUACCCUGGUA